Prosopis cineraria is the source of this 304-nucleotide long non-coding RNA. RefSeq lists it as uncharacterized. The transcript is spliced from 3 exons. The record is from RefSeq and is a predicted model, not a curated record. Lineage: Eukaryota; Viridiplantae; Streptophyta; Magnoliopsida; Fabales; Fabaceae.
AAAAAAGCUUUUGCUCGUGCUGAAAUAGAGAAUGUUUAGAGCAAUAGUUCGGAAGGGGGAAGAUUUAUAAGAACAUGAGAGAAUAUCUCGAGCCACAGGGAAGCAGGACGUUUAUUGAUCCCACAAUGCCUGAGCUCAUGUAUUCAUCUUGCGGUGAGGGCUCCGGUAGGAGCAAGGGGAAGGAAAGGGCAUUUGAAGAGUGAAGAGCAUAGUUGUAUGGCUCUUUCCUUUCUUCUUUUUGGGUAUUGUAAUAAAUAUUGUCAAUAUAUAAUGCCAACUUAGAAACAUGACAUUAUUGUGAUUA